UGCGCAGGCGGACUAAUAAGUCAGUGGUGAAAUCUCUCGGCUCAACCGAGAAACUGCCAUUGAAACUGUUAGUCUUGAGUACAGUUGUAGUGGGCGGAAUUUAGCAUGUAGCGGUGAAAUGCUUAGAUAUGCUAUAGAACACCGAUCGCGAAGGCAGCUCACUAAGCUGUAACUGACGCUCAGGCACGAAAGCGUGGGGAGCAAACAGGAUUAGAUACCCUGGUAGUCC
RNAcentral lists this ribosomal RNA (229 nucleotides) under uncultured bacterium. RNAcentral describes it as "partial 16S ribosomal RNA". It matches the Rfam family "Bacterial small subunit ribosomal RNA", at positions 568 to 796 of the family's 1533-position model. The record is from RNAcentral.